RNAcentral lists this ribosomal RNA (446 nucleotides) under uncultured bacterium. RNAcentral describes it as "partial 16S ribosomal RNA". It matches the Rfam family "Bacterial small subunit ribosomal RNA", at positions 338 to 795 of the family's 1533-position model. The record is from RNAcentral.
CCUACGGGUGGCAGCAGUCGAGAAUCAUUCACAAUGGGGGAAACCCUGAUGGUGCGACGCCGCGUGGGGGAAUGAAGGUCUUCGGAUUGUAAACCCCUGUCAUGUGGGAGCAAAUUAAAAAGAUAGUACCACAAGAGGAAGAGACGGCUAACUCUGUGCCAGCAGCCGCGGUAAUACAGAGGUCUCAAGCGUUGUUCGGAAUCACUGGGCGUAAGGCGUGCGUAGGCUGUUUCGUAAGUCGUGUGUGAAAGGCGCGGGCUCAACCCGCGGACGGCACAUGAUACUGCGAGACUAGAGUAAUGGAGGGGGAACCGGAAUUCUCGGUGUAGCAGUGAAAUGCGUAGAUAUCGAGAGGAACACUCGUGGCGAAGGCGGGUUCCUGGACAUUAACUGACGCUGAGGCACUAAGGCCAGGGGAGCGAAAGGGAUUAGAUACCCCUGUAGUC